UGGGGAAUCUUGCACAAUGGGGGCAACCCUGAUGCAGCGACGCCGCGUGAGCGAUGAAGCCCUUCGGGGCGUAAAGCUCUUUCGACCGGAACGAUAAUGACGGUACCGGGAGAAGAAGCUGCGGCUAACUACGUGCCAGCAGCCGCGGUAAUACGUAGGCAGCAAGCGUUGUUCGGAGUUACUGGGCGUAACGAGUGCGUAGGCGGUUUUCUAAGUUCGGUGUGAAAUCUCCCGGCUUAACUGGGAGGGUGCGCCGAAGACUGGGAGGGUGGAGUGUGGGAAAGGCCGGCGGAAUUCGAGGUGUGGCGGUGAAAGGCGUAGAUAGCAGGAGGAACACCGGCGGUAGAGACGGCUUGCUAGACCAU
RNAcentral lists this ribosomal RNA (365 nucleotides) under uncultured bacterium. Its description in RNAcentral is "bacterial SSU rRNA". It matches the Rfam family "Bacterial small subunit ribosomal RNA", at positions 355 to 737 of the family's 1533-position model. The record is from RNAcentral.